CCGCGGUACACCACGGGUUGA
RNAcentral lists this non-coding RNA (21 nucleotides) under Arabidopsis thaliana (thale cress). Lineage: Eukaryota; Viridiplantae; Streptophyta; Magnoliopsida; Brassicales; Brassicaceae. The record is from RNAcentral.